Molecule: long non-coding RNA, 703 nt
Filed under: Homo sapiens (human)
Lineage: Eukaryota; Metazoa; Chordata; Mammalia; Primates; Hominidae
Description: long non-coding RNA NONHSAT221690
Source: RNAcentral
GAUCCUGGCUUCAAUAGGAAGACCUUUGAUUCUUUAUCAAGUACUCAGUUGUAUCUUCUUAAGAAACAUUCUCUUCACUUUUAAGAUCUUUCUAUUCCUGAUUCGAGGUAAAUUUGUUUUCUUUGUUUCUCUUUGUUUUUUAAUCUGGAUACUUGUUCACACUCCAUAGAGAUUAUCAACAUUAUUUCUCUUAUGAAAUAUAGAUAUAUGAGUUAUAUUAUUAUACUUUUUAAUAAAAACCAUUUUUCAUAAUUUUAAUAAAGUUUAAUGUAGUUUCUUUGGUCACAACUUACUAUAUAUUAUGGGUAUAAAUUGACCUUAAUUUACUGCUGAUGUUCUUUAUCUUUACAUUCAGAUAUGUUUACAAAAUAAAAUAAUGAGAUCGGUCACUUUUUAAUUUGUAAUACUUGACAUUUAAUUUCACAAUUUUUUUUUUUUCUUUUUUGAGACAGAGUCGCUCUCUGUCACCCAGGCUGGAGUGCAAUGGCAUGAUCUCAGCUCAUUGCAACCUCCACCUCCCGGGUUUAAGGGAUUCUCCUGCCUCAACCUCCCUAGUAGGGGGGAUUACAGGCGCCAGUCACCCUGCCCGGCUUUCACAAUUUUAUUAGUAUGAGUAAAAUGUUCAUUUUUUAUCCUAUGCAAUAAUGUAUAUAUAUAUGACAUAGAAAUUGUGUAUUUCUUUAAAGUUUUAGAUACCUUAACU